AGAGUUUGAUCAUGGCUCAGAACGAACGCUGGCGGCAGGCUUAACACAUGCAAGUCGAACGCCCCGCAAGGGGAGUGGCAGACGGGUGAGUAACGCGUGGGAAUCUACCGUACCCUACGGAAUAACGCAUGGAAACGUGUGCUAAUACCGUAUACGCCCUACGGAGGAAAGAUUUAUCGGGGUAUGAUGAGCCCGCGUUGGAUUAGCUAGUUGGUGGGGUAAAGGCCUACCAAGGCGACGAUCCAUAGCUGGUCUGAGAGGAUGAUCAGCCACAUUGGGACUGAGACACGGCCCAAACUCCUACGGAAGGCAGCAGUGGGGAAUAUUGGACAAUGGGCGCAAGCCUGAUCCAGCCAUGCCGCGUGAGUGAUGAAGGUCUUAGGAUUGUAAAGCUCUUUCACCGAUGAAGAUAAUGACGGUAGUCGGAGAAGAAGCCCCGGCUAACUUCGUGCCAGCAGCCGCGGUAAUACGAAGGGGGGCUAGCGUUGUUCGGAAUUACUGGCCGUAAAGCGCACGUAGGCCGGAUAUUUUAAAGUUCAAGGGGUGAAAAAUCUCCGCCAAGCCUC
RNAcentral lists this ribosomal RNA (566 nucleotides) under Rhizobiaceae bacterium KAs3-R22. RNAcentral describes it as "bacterial SSU rRNA". It matches the Rfam family "Bacterial small subunit ribosomal RNA", at positions 8 to 627 of the family's 1533-position model. Lineage: Bacteria; Pseudomonadati; Pseudomonadota; Alphaproteobacteria; Hyphomicrobiales; Rhizobiaceae. The record is from RNAcentral.